UAGCGGAGGUGAAGGUUUCUCCCCACACCUCCUUCCUGCUGUUGCUUGGUGGCUCAUAUUCUUUCCCAGGAGAAGGAAAUGGUGUCUUGAGGACCUGCACCACCUCUUGGAGGAGAGACUUUCUGUUUUUCUUCCUCCUUGCUAAAGAAUGAUCCCAAAUCUAGAUGACACUGUUGUGUUUGCUGUGGAAUGAUAAGCUGAAAGCAACUUCCAGUGACAUUUUAGGUCAGCAAAGGCCAGACUGAUCAUUAGUAGCUCCAGAUACACAGCAAGAGAAGACAAAAAUAAAUAAAAAGCAGUGGGUGCAUGCCUACAUCUGUGGUCCUGGCCCCUCAGAGACUAAGCCUUUAAGAGCCUUGAAAUGCAGGAAGGCAUCCGGAAUUGGACAAUGAGGUUCAAGACAAAGCCAGAUUCAGUGGUGCUGGCCCUCACCGUGGAAGGAACGUGGGCAGAAUCCACCGUCAAUUAAUCAGGCCAGCAUCCACUCUGCCCCAGGUCUGAGCAAAGCUGGGAAUGAGUAACAAGCCACCCCAGCCGCUCUCUCUGUUCUGACUGAGUGAACCAGUAACCCCAGACUGAUACCCAGCCUCUGUCUCCUGGCACACGGAAGUCCACGAAGAAAAAGUAGACACAUUAAAAAUUAACAAGUGGAAUUUGAACUUGGAGGUUAAAAAAUGACUCGAAAAUAAGGUUCCAGAAGCCUCCUUGUAUCUUUGUCUACUGAUUCACUUAGAAGGGGAAGAAGACAGAAAAGCAGGGGUCAGGCGGGCCUCUUGCUUUCUUCCGAGCAUUUCCAUCUUCAUAGUUAUUGUAAGUUCUUACAUGUGUCAAGAGAUGUAUUAGUAGUUGGGUGUGGUUGUGUACUGGGUCCUGUAAGCCCAGCACUUAGGAGGCUGAGGCAGGAGGAUGGAGAGUUCAAGAGGCAGUCUGGACUAUAUAGAGUUUUGCAGGUCAAUCUGGGCUUAGCAAGACCAUGGAGAAAAGGAGAAGGAGAGAGACAGAAAGACAGACAGAGAUGGGCAGAGAGUAACGAUUUUGA
Molecule: non-coding RNA, 1039 nt
Organism: Peromyscus maniculatus bairdii (prairie deer mouse)
Lineage: Eukaryota; Metazoa; Chordata; Mammalia; Rodentia; Cricetidae
Source: RefSeq, a predicted model, not a curated record